UUGCAAAGAGAGGCACUGCUCACGUCCAGGCGCAAGGGUUUCUCCGGCGGCUCAGGUUCUCACAUCGAUGGGGUUGCGCCCAGAACCCUGGAUCAAUUCUCCGAUGACUUAUGUGCUGAUAAGUGAGAUGUAGCGGACGAUGGGGUGUAUUUGCUGGACUCAAGCCGAUCUCACAUCCGCCAAGGAAGUGCAGGCUACCGCGGAUUGGUGGUACAAUGAUUUAUGCUCCAUUCAUCAACUAUUAAAUUCAUCACUGAACCAGUACGAUUGGAGUGGUCUUUUCGGUUGCUUGGAAGAAAGCUCAGUAGUCUAACCACAAGAUUUGAAAUUUCAGUUUAUCCUCAGCUCAGCAAGUUUCUGAGACUGAUAAUCUCCGAGAGAUCUAUCACAGGCCCCUCUAUGCCCAAGCUUUUGGCCAGUUCCAACAAAGUUCUAAUUCAAGGAGAGAUGGCACACCCCAAAUUUGAGAAGAUUUGGAAAUCAGCAGUGAUUCAGAGAUACCAAAUUUUCUGUUAGUUUCUGAUCCAAGAUAGGCUCAACACAAGAAGUCUGCUUCUCUGCUUCUCCGGAAAUAAUUUCACCUCCCCUCCUACCAAUGUGCGCUAUGUACUGAGCAAAUUGAAGAGACCACAUUGCACCUCUUUUUGGACUGCUCAUUUGCUCUGCAAUGCUGGGACCUGAUCACCCCUAAUAAGAAGAGGGACACAUCUGUCAUUCAGGAAAUCAUGUUGGCUUUGAAUGAAUUACCAAAUGGAGCGGCCAUGAACAUUGUCAUUAUGAGUUGCUGGCAUAUUUUGAUGCAAAGGAACAACAACAACUUUAAUCAUAUUAAUCCGAUCACCACAUCAUGGAAGCUGCUACACAAGAAAGAUUUACAGUUGCUACAGCAUAGAACUAAGCACUAGCUCCUUCAAGUUUUUCAAGAUAGGAUCGCCACACGUUUGUAGGCUGAAAGAUCCUUCAGUUAGAAAUAUUUUCAAGAGCAGGCAUUGGUCAGAUUGGCUUGGCCAUCUCCUUUUCUUUUUGAUCCCUUUUGUACAUACACUUUUAAU
Long non-coding RNA from Triticum aestivum (bread wheat), 1052 nucleotides. RefSeq lists it as uncharacterized. The record is from RefSeq and is a predicted model, not a curated record. Lineage: Eukaryota; Viridiplantae; Streptophyta; Magnoliopsida; Poales; Poaceae. The transcript has 4 exons.